This 1302-nucleotide ribosomal RNA is filed under the name Escherichia coli. RNAcentral's name for it is "partial 23S ribosomal RNA". It matches the Rfam family "Bacterial large subunit ribosomal RNA", at positions 1660 to 2925 of the family's 2925-position model. The record is from RNAcentral. Lineage: Bacteria; Pseudomonadati; Pseudomonadota; Gammaproteobacteria; Enterobacterales; Enterobacteriaceae.
CAGGUGGUCAGGUAGAGAAUACCAAGGCGCUUGAGAGAACUCGGGUGAAGGAACUAGGCAAAAUGGUGCCGUAACUUCGGGAGAAGGCACGCUGAUAUGUAGGUGAAGCGACUUGCUCGUGGAGCUGAAAUCAGUCGAAGAUACCAGCUGGCUGCAACUGUUUAUUAAAAACACAGCACUGUGCAAACACGAAAGUGGACGUAUACGGUGUGACGCCUGCCCGGUGCCGGAAGGUUAAUUGAUGGGGUUAGCGGUAACGCGAAGCUCUUGAUCGAAGCCCCGGUAAACGGCGGCCGUAACUAUAACGGUCCUAAGGUAGCGAAAUUCCUUGUCGGGUAAGUUCCGACCUGCACGAAUGGCGUAAUGAUGGCCAGGCUGUCUCCACCCGAGACUCAGUGAAAUUGAACUCGCUGUGAAGAUGCAGUGUACCCGCGGCAAGACGGAAAGACCCCGUGAACCUUUACUAUAGCUUGACACUGAACAUUGAGCCUUGAUGUGUAGGAUAGGUGGGAGGCUUUGAAGUGUGGACGCCAGUCUGCAUGGAGCCGACCUUGAAAUACCACCCUUUAAUGUUUGAUGUUCUAACGUGGGCCCCUUACCGGGGUUGCGGACAGUGUCUGGUGGGUAGUUUGACUGGGGCGGUCUCCUCCUAAAGAGUAACGGAGGAGCACGAAGGUUGGCUAAUCCUGGUCGGACAUCAGGAGGUUAGUGCAAUGGCAUAAGCCAGCUUGACUGCGAGCGUGACGGCGCGAGCAGGUGCGAAAGCAGGUCAUAGUGAUCCGGUGGUUCUGAAUGGAAGGGCCAUCGCUCAACGGAUAAAAGGUACUCCGGGGAUAACAGGCUGAUACCGCCCAAGAGUUCAUAUCGACGGCGGUGUUUGGCACCUCGAUGUCGGCUCAUCACAUCCUGGGGCUGAAGUAGGUCCCAAGGGUAUGGCUGUUCGCCAUUUAAAGUGGUACGCGAGCUGGGUUUAGAACGUCGUGAGACAGUUCGGUCCCUAUCUGCCGUGGGCGCUGGAGAACUGAGGGGGGCUGCUCCUAGUACGAGAGGACCGGAGUGGACGCAUCACUGGUGUUCGGGUUGUCAUGCCAAUGGCACUGCCCGGUAGCUAAAUGCGGAAGAGAUAAGUGCUGAAAGCAUCUAAGCACGAAACUUGCCCCGAGAUGAGUUCUCCCUGAGACUUAGAGUCUCCUGAAGGAACGUUGAAGACGACGACGUUGAUAGGCCGGGUGUGUAAGCGCAGCGAUGCGUUGAGCUAACCGGUACUAAUGAACCGUGAGGCUUAACCUUACAACGCCGAAG